Varroa destructor (honeybee mite) is the source of this 1557-nucleotide non-coding RNA. The record is from RefSeq and is a predicted model, not a curated record. NCBI's taxonomy places the organism in Eukaryota, Metazoa, Arthropoda, Arachnida, Mesostigmata, Varroidae.
UCCAUUCUCUUGUGACUGAUGGUGCUCUUCGCUGCGAUGCGAGCUUUCCAUGAGCAAUACCCAACUUGUGCCCUAGCUAGGUUAAUAGACAACCACUGUUUCCAGUUUUAGCUGUAGCCUUUGGUACAGCUUCCGCUAAAACUAGACCCCUUUUUAGCAUAACCCUACGCCAGGAGUUAUAAGUUGCCAGGAGCUCCUAAAUGGAGCUCUUUGCAUAGUAAUGAGUCGUUGAUGAAUAGCGCUCAACUCUUGCCUUGACCCUCAAAAAGGACUUUUCACUUGGUGUACAGCUGUAUUCCGUAUUCUCUAUUGCAAUCGAUCCCUAACUUGUCACUGGUCCCGUGUAGGGAAAUCAGCAUGGGUGUAAUUCGUGGUGCCAGAGUUUUUCAUGAACCCGUUUCGGACAUGGAGGUGAAGGAAGAAUGCCCGCUUUCCAAUAUGACAGAAAGUCCAGAUAACUCGCGCCUUGCGCUCGAUAUCUUGGUGUUAGAAGAAUUAAAAAAUCGUCAGCAGUUAAGACGACAACGAAGGGCAGAAUUAGUUGUGGCCUCGAGCACUGGAACUUCGCUUGUAAUAAGACUUCGAGCUACCUGUGACGAUGUUGAAGGGCUUAACUCGCAUCUUGUCGUCCACAAUGAGCUGCGCAAACGAAAAUGCAUACAGAACGACAAACAGCUCUACGCCCUCUGCCAUUCGGAGGAUGAUUUAGAACACACUUUAUUGAAGAUUCGCUGCCCGGUUUCGCACUCCUGCUUUCCGAAAAGGACAACAUUACACUGUGGGAUGUCAUGCUAUGCAAGCAGCUGAAGCUUAUGAUGAAGAUACGUGCAAUGACGUUAGUUUUGGAUGUGAAGCUGUUGGAAGACGAGGAGCACAAAAACCGAAAAAAAUUUAUUACGCCUUUCAGAGCAUCCUGCUGCGAAUAUAACUGAAGAUUGUUAGCACAGAUCAGACGACGAUACGAGGCAAGCCUUACGUAAGUAGUGCUGCCCUAUCGACAUAAUCAGGACCAUCGGAGGGCAGCUCGAAAUCUUUUUUACAGCAUGGAUCGUAACGGUCAUCGUCAAAAUCUUCAUUCAAAAUUCAUAUUAUUCUCUUUGGCACUAUCAGCCUACCUCAAGUCUCGCCGAAGUGCCUCAUCGACAACGAAAAAUGGUUCUCAUCGGCAUCGAGCAUCUCGUCAUUAUCAUUUACAUUAACAAACAAAUCGCGUCACUGACAAGUGAAAACCAAUCCGACGAGACAAAAACCUCUAUGACUAUGUCACAUCUUGAUUUCUUUAAGCGACGUAGCAAGUUGCAUAUCAUUCGAGUUAUGUAAGAAUCUAUAAAUACAUUCGGGCGAGUUAUGACAGAACAACAACGUUACAAAGCAGGAUCGCAUGCUGACUCUACGUUAUGACGUCAUCCUAAAUUCAACAUGGAAUUAUUCUACCUGACGGUCUUGUUAGCAGCGAACGGCUCAGCCACAUUAAGCGCUGGAAAAGCCAAGCAGAUGGAAUUGCAACCUUGAAAGCAUCUUAUUUGAGAUUAUGUAAAUCCAUACCUGGUGACAGUU